RNAcentral lists this ribosomal RNA (560 nucleotides) under Paleticus subereus. RNAcentral's name for it is "partial 16S ribosomal RNA". It matches the Rfam family "Bacterial large subunit ribosomal RNA", at positions 1803 to 2631 of the family's 2925-position model. The record is from RNAcentral. Lineage: Eukaryota; Metazoa; Arthropoda; Insecta; Coleoptera; Curculionidae.
UUUAUUAAAAACAUGGCCUAUUGAGAAUGAUUUUAGGUCAGGCCUGCCCAAUGAUUAUUAUUUAAUGGCCGCGGUAAUUUGACCGUGCAAAGGUAGCAUAAUCAUUAGUUUCUUAAUUGGAAGCUUGUAUGAAAGGUUUGAUGAGAAAAUAGCUGUCUCUAUUUAAAUUUUUUAAAAUUUUAUUUUUAAGUUAAAAAGCUUAAAUUUUUGUAGAAGACGAGAAGACCCUAUAGAGUUUUAUAAAUUUAGUUUAGUAAGAUUAUAUUUUAGUAUUAUUAAGUUUAUUAGUAAGUUUAUUUGGUUGGGGUGAUUGAAAAAUUUAUUUAACUUUUUUUAAAAAUUUACAUUUAUAUGUGAGUAUUUGAUCCUUUUUUUAAGAUUAAAAGAUAAAAUUACCUUAGGGAUAACAGCGUUAUUUUUUUUUAGAGUUCUAAUCGAAAGAAAAGAUUGCGACCUCGAUGUUGGAUUAAAGGAAAUUAUUGGUGUAGAAGCUAAUAAAUUAGGUCUGUUCGACCUUUAAAACUUUACAUGAUCUGAGUUUAAACCGGUGUGAGCCAGGU